Molecule: transfer RNA, 71 nt
Filed under: Cafileria marina
Lineage: Eukaryota; Bigyra; Bicosoecida
Description: tRNA-Cys
Rfam family: tRNA
About the family: Transfer RNA (tRNA) molecules are approximately 80 nucleotides in length. Their secondary structure includes four short double-helical elements and three loops (D, anti-codon, and T loops).
Source: RNAcentral
GAUUAAGUAACAUAACGGUAAUGUAUAAGAUUGCAAAUCUUGAAAAGGUAGUUCGAUUCUACUCUUAAUCU